CGCAUCUGUGCAUGCAGCAUAUCAAUAAGCGGAGGAAAAGGCUGCGGAACUGCACGACCGCUACCUACGCUUAGGAUGUUGACGAGACUGUCGAUCUCAUCUAUACAUGACUCUGUGCAUAUCAAUAAGCGGAGGAAAAGAAACUAACAAGGAUUCCCCUAGUAACGGCGAGUGAAGCGGGAAGAGCUCAAAUUUGAAAUCUUAAAGGGUUUCCCUUUACGAAUUGUAGUUUAAAGAAGUGUUUUCUGUUGAGGUUUUGGUAAAAGUUCUCUGGAAUAGGACAUCAUAGAGGGUGAGAAUCCCGUAUUUGACCUUUACUUUCAACUUUGUGAUACACUUUCAAAGAGUCGGAUUGUUUGGGAAUGCAGUCCAAAAUGGGUGGUAAAUUUCAUCUAAAGCUAAAUAUUGGCGAGAGACCGAUAGCGAACAAGUACCGUGAGGGAAAGAUGAAAAGAACUUUGAAAAGAGAGUUAAACAGUACGUGAAAUUGUCAAAAGGGAAGCGUUUGACACCAGUGUUGUUUUUCUGAAAAUCAAUUAAAGAACUGUUUAUGCUAAGCUGUUUAGACUUUAUCAGCUAUCUGUUUAGUUUUGAGCUUUUCUUUAAUGCACUUUUCAGUUAACAAGUCAACAUCAAUUUCUUUUGCUGUAAAAAAGCUUGAGGAAGGUGGCUUGAGAUUCGUCUUAAGUGUUUAUAGCCUCUUGCCUAUGCAGUCGGAGAGAUUGAGGUCUGCAGCGUAGAUCCCUUCGGGGCUAAAUGCAUUUGUGCUAAGUUAUAACAUUUUAUAGACAACUUGUUGACUAUGAUUUGUCUUGUAGCUUACUCGCUUAUGUUAUUUUACCUACGCUUAGGAUGUUGAGCGCAUGUCUCUCUCU
This 875-nucleotide ribosomal RNA is filed under the name uncultured Neocallimastigales. RNAcentral describes it as "partial large subunit ribosomal RNA". The stretch from base 92 to 875 matches the Rfam family "Eukaryotic large subunit ribosomal RNA", at positions 1 to 616 of the family's 3401-position model. The record is from RNAcentral. Lineage: Eukaryota; Fungi; Neocallimastigomycota; Neocallimastigomycetes; Neocallimastigales.